GGAAGACAAAAAUCGCAUGAAUCUUGGUCAGCCAUCUACCAAUUUACUGCUGAAUUGAGAGUUACAUGUGCAAUAUUCUUUAGAAAAUGCUUUACGACACCGACUAAGUGUUGAUUCGGUAAACUUAGUAUUUGCCGGUCUAUCGUGUACGGUACCAAUUCCAACAAAAUCAUGCGUGUCAGCAAAUCUAUCGAUCGGCAAGCGUAAAAUUU
Molecule: long non-coding RNA, 212 nt
Filed under: Phoenix dactylifera (date palm)
Lineage: Eukaryota; Viridiplantae; Streptophyta; Magnoliopsida; Arecales; Arecaceae
Description: long non-coding RNA (PDAC_LNC001169)
Source: RNAcentral